RNAcentral lists this long non-coding RNA (2302 nucleotides) under Citrus x clementina. RNAcentral describes it as "Citrus clementina (C. clementina) long non-coding RNA (CCLE_LNC001124)". Lineage: Eukaryota; Viridiplantae; Streptophyta; Magnoliopsida; Sapindales; Rutaceae. The record is from RNAcentral.
AAGUAAAAAUGGGAAAAAUAUGUAAAACUAUUGCAUUUUUGAGUAGUUAGUCUAGUGAUUCAUGGCUGGAAUUACGACGAUUUGCAUUUUAGCCUGCCCCCUCUUUUCAUCACAGACAGUGAUUGCAUUAUUGACUAGAGAAACAUAAAAACGCGUGGGGUCAUAUUUGAAACAAUGAAUAAUCUUAUAUAUAGUCUAAUACUAUAUGAGUAUGUGUGUGUUGUCACAUGAUCAUAAUUACGAAUUAAAAUAAAUAAUAUUAGCCCGGUACAUGAGUAUGUGCAACGCAAACGAAUAAUAAUUUGCAAUUAUGACCAUAAUUGAAUUGAUUGGAGAUCGUUCGUGUUACUUCAAUUGUCCUUCAAGUAAGUAGACACGCAGCAUGUCAUGUUGUGUUGAAAUCGAAUUGUGAUAUGAAUGAUUGAGACAGAAGCAAAAAACUAUGAUGAGGGAUUUAAUAAUAAAUUCGGGCCACUUACAUUUCAUUACGAAAACCCAACCAAAUUCGAUUAAUUUGAUCGUCCAUUAGAUCUAACAAAAGUAAAUCCAGCCACUCGGCCAAAAGGCCGAGUGGUGAGAGCUGCUGCUUUCCAAGUUGGAGAGCAGCAGUUCGAACCCCCACAAUGUAUGUGGGGGUGUUUCUUUUCUCAAAUAAAAUUGAGUGAAGGCAGUCUGCUUCCUUGCCCCAGUGCGAGGAGUAGACAUCCCUCGAAUAUUUGAGAGGGUUAAAAUUUGGGCAGAGCUCCAUUAGAUUUGAUGUAUGAUGGUCUCAGUUAUAGUCUGAUUUGUACAUAUCAGUUAUAUUCUCAUGUAAUAUGAGUUGUAAUCUGAGCAAUAGUCUCAUGUAAUCAAAAAAAAAAAAAACAAAAGUAAAUCCAAAUGGGCGAGAGGCUGUGUUUUAACGUUAAAGUUUAUUUGGCGCCCAUAUAUUUUAUUAUCCACAAUUUUUUUUAAAAAAUAUUGGGAUAAUUUUUUGCUUAGAUUCGUAUUACAUUUUUAAGAUGAUGGACCUACUACAGUAAUAAUAUUGUUAUUUUAUGUUCUUGUUUCAUCCUAAAUUUUAAUUCGAGUACACUUAAUUGUUCCCCAGUUGUAAGAAACCCCUUAACUUGAAUUUAAAAAAAAAAAAAAAACUAAAUCGUUAGAUUUAAAGGAAACAAGUCUUAACAAUGAUAAUUACAAUUAUAAAUAAAAAUUUGGGCCAGACUACUGUUACGUUGCGCCAUUGUAGAUGCUUAUAUUUUAAUAACAUAUUCAAUUGCACAAAUACUUAUAAUACCAUUUUAACAAAACUAUUUGAACACACCCAAAUACUCAUUAUACCAAUUUAUGAUUAUACCCACCACUAAAUUUUGAAAAUUAAAUUUAUACUCGAUAAGUCUAUACACCUAUCCAAGUGCCAAAAAAAUUCCUCAUAAAAUUCUUUAUAUGUGUGUCUUUUUUUGCAAAGAGAUUUUUUUAACAAAUAAAAUAAAAUAUUAAACAAAAAAAUCCCUAAUUUCCAUGGAGGAGAAAAUUAGUUGAUAAGACAACUAGCAAGGUAAUAAAAAAAGAGAGAGAUUGUUUAAUUUGGUAAAAAAAAAAGGAUUUUUGAAAGGUCAUAGACAUAAACAUAAAUAACAUAAAUCAUCCUAAUAUCUACAGAAAAAGUCAUAAAUUAGAAGGAUUGUAAGAUACCAUUGAAAUUUGCCAAUAGAUGUCCCCUUUGUCAUUCUAGCCGAUCCAUUAAAUUCGGAUUAUUGAUCACUUUUUAAUCAUUUAAGUGAUUUUAUUGAUUGAAUUGGAUGUAUAUAUUGAAUAAUUGACCAAUUAAAUUAGUUGAUGGAUUUUCUUUUCUAACCAUAUCCAUUUUUGUUACACACACACACUUUUCAGAUCUGAUUUAUAUAAUUCACCGAAAAUUUGAUGAAUUAUUAGCUCGGAUUUUAAUUUAUCAUUCAAUUAAAUAUUUUAAUAAAACAUAUUAAAUUUUAUUUUAUAGAUGUUAUUUUUUUCAAUAAGAAAGUAUAUUAUCUUUAGUGAACAAAUAUAAUAGGCGGUUUGGAAAGUUGUCCACCCAAAAAAUAGAUUCUAAUGGAUCCAAAGCUAGUCUAGCUACAUUGUGAGAGUACAUUGAGUUAAGAUUUGUUGUCGUCUUCUAAUAUAAGAUUAGGGAUGGUAAAAAGAUCCAGCCAAAAUUUUGGCCGAUUGACCCGACCCAAAGUUUUAAAACUUUGACCUAAAUUUAAGGGUCACUAGUAAGGUUCGAGCCUAAAUAUUAGAGUGCGAUUGUAUACGGGUUAAGGUCCAGGCUCUACAUGUC